This 406-nucleotide ribosomal RNA is filed under the name bacterium sp. ZYQ-2015-11. Its description in RNAcentral is "bacterial SSU rRNA". It matches the Rfam family "Bacterial small subunit ribosomal RNA", at positions 986 to 1393 of the family's 1533-position model. The record is from RNAcentral.
GGCUACCGGACUUUCAGAGAUGGAUUGGUGCCUUCGGGAACUGUGAGACAGGUGCUGCAUGGCUGUCGUCAGCUCGUGUUGUGAAAUGUUGGGUUAAGUCCCGCAACGAGCGCAACCCUUAUCCUUUGUUGCCAGCGGUCCGGCCGGGAACUCAAAGGAGACUGCCAGUGAUAAACUGGAGGAAGGUGGGGAUGACGUCAAGUCAUCAUGGCCCUUACGACCAGGGCUACACACGUGCUACAAUGGCGCAUACAAAGAGAAGCGACCUCGCGAGAGCAAGCGGACCUCAUAAAGUGCGUCGUAGUCCGGAUUGGAGUCUGCAACUCGACUCCAUGAAGUCGGAAUCGCUAGUAAUCGUGGAUCAGAAUGCCACGGUGAAUACGUUCCCGGGUCUUGUACACACCGA